Long non-coding RNA from Parus major (Great Tit), 1579 nucleotides. Lineage: Eukaryota; Metazoa; Chordata; Aves; Passeriformes; Paridae. The record is from Ensembl.
UGUAACACACUGAAAAGUGACAGCUCGAGAGCUUUACCCAGAGCCAAGCGGCUUCUCUUCCCACAAGAGGGAGCCCGGCGGUCACCGCAGGAUCAGAUCCGUGCCGGCUCGGAAGCGCUGUGCGAUCUCUCGCCGGCCAGCAGAGGGGAUGUGCCGGGCAGCCCGGCCCCAAUUUACCCCUCAUCGCAGGAAUUCUCAGUCUCAAAUCAUAGGUAUGUGUCUGCCACCGUAGUCUUAAAGAAAUUUUGUAUCCAAUUAAAAUACUGCUCUGUUCAAUGCGUAAAGUAUCAGCAAAAAUUCAGAGAACACUUCAAUUCCCAGUGCAAUUUCGGGAGUUGUGCUACCCCAGUACAUAAAGAGGAUGUAUUAUUCACUGGUAAGUGUGCACACAGAAAUCCCUCAUCUGACUCAUCCUCCCUCCAGAAAGGACACAAAUGUCAGAAAAGAAAUAGAAACUGCUCUAUAAAUCAGAAUGGUGAGCCUUCAGUAAAAGUUCUGUAUGAAUUCAGAACGUAUCCCAGUGAUGUCACAUACCUGCCAUUGUUUAUAACCAUGCCAGUACAAUCUUAUCAUUCCUAGAAAUACAUUGCAUGUCAGAUUUUUGUUGGUCAAACUACCACUAAGCAAACAAAUAGUAUCAAUAGAGAAAAGGCAAUUUAUUUUAUUUCUGUGACAGAUUGAGAAGUUUUGAAAAAUUUAUAGAGUUAUUUAUAAAACACAUAGGUUUUAUUAUGAUUUAGGUCAUAAUCUGUUUUCCAUAUAGGUUGACCAAUGCCUGUUUUGUGUUAAAAGCUGAGGAAACAAGAGCAGGAAAAGCAGUUAAAGCCAGGAAACAAAAGACAGGAGGGAUGAACUAUGCAAAAGUCAAUACAUGAGUCUGUGAUAUAGCUGAAAAUACCCAAAAAUAUUUUGAUUUUCAUAUAAAGGAGCAUGGAGAGGAAAACUGUUUAAUGGAUUUUGAAACAGUGCAUAUCUCAAAGGUAAGAGAGCUACUCCUGUGGAAUUGUGCUUUUCAUUCUCAUGGGAUUUUAUUAGUUCUUGUCAGGGCCAUAUCCUACUCCCUUUUCUAGUAAAAUGUACCAGAAAAUAUAUGCUUCACCACAAACAUGAAAGAAACAGUUUUAUGGGGGAUAAUGAGGGAUACAUAUCACCUUUUCCUGUCCUCCAAACAGGCAAGAUGGAACUUCAGUUGUAUUUUUAACCCUAUUUUCAGAGGAUGAAUUAAUACACGAAAACUACACAUACCUUAAGAAGGGCUAAGGAUGGAGUGUGAUAGUGUGAUUUCAGGAGGAAAUUAAUACCCAGCAGCCAGAAUUCUGUUGAAAUAAUUUGCCACUCUUCACCCAGAGGUGAAAUGUGGGACUGAGUUGCUGGGGCUAAAUAAUAUGCAGGACAAAAGUGAGACUCGUGCCCAAACACAGCAGCCUUUAUUGUCAGUAUCAAGGGUUACUUUGGACGACCAGUUGCCCAUCUCAGAAAUCCAGCUUGUCAUUUAUUGGCAAAGAAGGUAGGAUUGACGGAAUGACAAGCCUGCUACACACCAGCACUUAGAGGAGUGGGGGAAAACGUGACCUUUGAA